GAGUUUGAUCGUGGCUCAGAACGAACGCUGGCGGCAUGCCUAACACAUGCAAGUCGAACGAGACCUUCGGGUCUAGUGGCGCACGGGUGCGUAACGCGUGGGAAUCUGCCCUUAGGUACGGAAUAACAGUGAGAAAUUACUGCUAAUACCGUAUGAUGUCUUCGGACCAAAGAUUUAUCGCCUAGGGAUGAGCCCGCGUUGGAUUAGCUAGUUGGUGGGGUAAAGGCCUACCAAGGCGACGAUCCAUAGCUGGUCUGAGAGGAUGAUCAGCCACACUGGGACUGAGACACGGCCCAGACUCCUACGGGAGGCAGCAGUGGGGAAUAUUGGACAAUGGGCGAAAGCCUGAUCCAGCAAUGCCGCGUGAGUGAAGAAGGCCUCGGUUGUAAG
RNAcentral lists this ribosomal RNA (390 nucleotides) under uncultured bacterium. Its description in RNAcentral is "bacterial SSU rRNA". It matches the Rfam family "Bacterial small subunit ribosomal RNA", at positions 9 to 429 of the family's 1533-position model. The record is from RNAcentral.